AUUGAACGCUGGCGGCAGGCCUAACACAUGCAAGUCGAACGAGUGGCGGACGGGUGAGUAAUGCUUGGGAAUCUAGCUGAUGGAGGGGGAUAACUACGGGAAACUGUAGCUAAUACCGCAUACCAUCGGAUGAGCCCAGGUGGGAUUAGGUAGUUGGUGGGGUAACGGCUCACCAAGGCGACGAUCACUAGCUGGUCUGAGAGGAUGACCAGACACCCUGGAACUGAGACACGGUCCAGACUCCUACGGGAGGCAGCAGUGGGGAAUAUUGCGCAAUGGGGGCAAGCCUGACGCAGCCAUGCCGCGUGAAUGAAGAAGGCCUUCGGGUUGUAAAGUUCUUUCGGUAGCGAGGCGUUAACGACAGAAGAAGCACCGGCUAACUCCGUGCCAGCAGCCGCGGUAAUUC
This 406-nucleotide ribosomal RNA is filed under the name uncultured bacterium. Its description in RNAcentral is "partial 16S ribosomal RNA". It matches the Rfam family "Bacterial small subunit ribosomal RNA", at positions 30 to 526 of the family's 1533-position model. The record is from RNAcentral.